UGCAUGACUAAUUCAACAUUAUAACAGGGUCCACCUGGCCCCAAAGGUGAUAAGGGGGAUCAAGGCGACCAGGGACCACGGAUGGUCUUCCCUAAGAUAAAUCAUGGCUUUCUUUCUGCUGAUCAGCAACUCAUUAAACGCCGACUCAUUAAGGGUGACCAGGGUCAAGCAGGGCCCCAGGGCCUCCUGGACCUCCAGGUCCUCCAGGCCCCAGGGGACCC
Molecule: long non-coding RNA, 221 nt
Organism: Puntigrus tetrazona (Sumatra barb)
Lineage: Eukaryota; Metazoa; Chordata; Actinopteri; Cypriniformes; Cyprinidae
Exons: 5
Source: RefSeq, a predicted model, not a curated record